GACGAACGCUGGCGGCGUGCUUAACACAUGCAAGUCGAACGGAAAGGCCCUGCGUUUGUGGGGUGCUCGAGUGGCGAACGGGUGAGUAACACGUGAGUAACCUGCCCUUGACUUUGGGAUAACUUCAGGAAACUGGGGCUAAUACCGGAUAGGAGCUCCUGCUGCAUGGGGGGGGUUGGAAAGUUUCGGCGGUUCUGGAUGGACUCGCGGCUUAUCAGCUUGUUGGUGGGGUAGUGGCUUACCAAGGCUUUGACGGGUAGCCGGCCUGGGAGGGUGACCGGCCACCUUGGGACUGCGAUACGGCCCAGACUCCUACGGGAGGCAGCAGUGGGGAAUAUUGCACAAUGGGCGGACGCCUGAUGCAGCGACGCCGCGUGCGGGAUGCCGGCCUUCGGGUUGUAAACCGCUUUCGCCUGUGACGAAGAGUGAGUGACGGUAAUGGGUAAAGAAGCACCGGCUAACUACGUG
This 468-nucleotide ribosomal RNA is filed under the name uncultured bacterium. RNAcentral's name for it is "partial 16S ribosomal RNA". It matches the Rfam family "Bacterial small subunit ribosomal RNA", at positions 28 to 507 of the family's 1533-position model. The record is from RNAcentral.